GGGUUGUGAGGUUAAGCGACUAAGCGUACACGGUGGAUGCCCUGGCAGUCAGAGGCGAUGAAGGACGUGCUAAUCUGCGAUAAGCGUCGGUGAGGUGAUAUGAACCGUUAUAACCGGCGAUUUCCGAAUGGGGAAACCCAGUGUGUUUCGACACACUAUCAUUAACUGAAUCCAUAGGUUAAUGAGGCGAACCGGGGGAACUGAAACAUCUAAGUACCCCGAGGAAAAGAAAUCAACCGAGAUUCCCCCAGUAGCGGCGAGCGAACGGGGAGGAGCCCAGAGCCUGAAUCAGUGUGUGUGUUAGUGGAAGCGUCUGGAAAGGCGCGCGAUACAGGGUGACAGCCCCGUACACAAAAAUGCACAUAUUGUGAGCUCGAUGAGUAGGGCGGGACACGUGGUAUCCUGUCUGAAUAUGGGGGGACCAUCCUCCAAGGCUAAAUACUCCUGACUGACCGAUAGUGAACCAGUACCGUGAGGGAAAGGCGAAAAGAACCCCGGCGAGGGGAGUGAAAAAGAACCUGAAACCGUGUACGUACAAGCAGUGGGAGCCUCUUAAUGGGGUGACUGCGUACCUUUUGUAUAAUGGGUCAGCGACUUAUAUUCUGUAGCAAGGUUAACCGAAUAGGGGAGCCGAAGGGAAACCGAGUCUUAACUGGGCGUUAAGUUGCAGGGUAUAGACCCGAAACCCGGUGAUCUAGCCAUGGGCAGGUUGAAGGUUGGGUAACACUAACUGGAGGACCGAACCGACUAAUGUUGAAAAAUUAGCGGAUGACUUGUGGCUGGGGGUGAAAGGCCAAUCAAACCGGGAGAUAGCUGGUUCUCCCCGAAAGCUAUUUAGGUAGCGCCUCGUGAAUUCAUCUCCGGGGGUAGAGCACUGUUUCGGCAAGGGGGUCAUCCCGACUUACCAACCCGAUGCAAACUGCGAAUACCGGAGAAUGUUAUCACGGGAGACACACGGCGGGUGCUAACGUCCGUCGUGAAGAGGGAAACAACCCAGACCGCCAGCUAAGGUCCCAAAGUCAUGGUUAAGUGGGAAACGAUGUGGGAAGGCCCAGACAGCCAGGAUGUUGGCUUAGAAGCAGCCAUCAUUUAAAGAAAGCGUAAUAGCUCACUGGUCGAGUCGGCCUGCGCGGAAGAUGUAACGGGGCUAAACCAUGCACCGAAGCUGCGGCAGCGACACUAUGUGUUGUUGGGUAGGGGAGCGUUCUGUAAGCCUGUGAAGGUGGCCUGUGAGGGUUGCUGGAGGUAUCAGAAGUGCGAAUGCUGACAUAAGUAACGAUAAAGCGGGUGAAAAGCCCGCUCGCCGGAAGACCAAGGGUUCCUGUCCAACGUUAAUCGGGGCAGGGUGAGUCGACCCCUAAGGCGAGGCCGAAAGGCGUAGUCGAUGGGAAACAGGUUAAUAUUCCUGUACUUGGUGUUACUGCGAAGGGGGGACGGAGAAGGCUAUGUUGGCCGGGCGACGGUUGUCCCGGUUUAAGCGUGUAGGCUGGUUUUCCAGGCAAAUCCGGAAAACCAAGGCUGAGGCGUGAUGACGAUNNNNNNNNNNNNNNNNNNNNNNNNNNNNNNNNNNNNNNNNNNNNNNNNNNNNNNNNNNNNNNNNNNNNNNNNNNNNNNNNNNNNNNNNNNNNNNNNNNAACAAAUGCCCUGCUUCCAGGAAAAGCCUCUAAGCAUCAGGUAACAUCAAAUCGUACCCCAAACCGACACAGGUGGUCAGGUAGAGAAUACCAAGGCGCUUGAGAGAACUCGGGUGAAGGAACUAGGCAAAAUGGUGCCGUAACUUCGGGAGAAGGCACGCUGAUAUGUAGGUGAAGCGACUUGCUCGUGGAGCUGAAAUCAGUCGAAGAUACCAGCUGGCUGCAACUGUUUAUUAAAAACACAGCACUGUGCAAACACGAAAGUGGACGUAUACGGUGUGACGCCUGCCCGGUGCCGGAAGGUUAAUUGAUGGGGUUAGCGGUAACGCGAAGCUCUUGAUCGAAGCCCCGGUAAACGGCGGCCGUAACUAUAACGGUCCUAAGGUAGCGAAAUUCCUUGUCGGGUAAGUUCCGACCUGCACGAAUGGCGUAAUGAUGGCCAGGCUGUCUCCACCCGAGACUCAGUGAAAUUGAACUCGCUGUGAAGAUGCAGUGUACCCGCGGCAAGACGGAAAGACCCCGUGAACCUUUACUAUAGCUUGACACUGAACAUUGAGCCUUGAUGUGUAGGAUAGGUGGGAGGCUUUGAAGUGUGGACGCCAGUCUGCAUGGAGCCGACCUUGAAAUACCACCCUUUAAUGUUUGAUGUUCUAACGUUGGCCCGUAAUCCGGGUUGCGGACAGUGUCUGGUGGGUAGUUUGACUGGGGCGGUCUCCUCCUAAAGAGUAACGGAGGAGCACGAAGGUUGGCUAAUCCUGGUCGGACAUCAGGAGGUUAGUGCAAUGGCAUAAGCCAGCUUGACUGCGAGCGUGACGGCGCGAGCAGGUGCGAAAGCAGGUCAUAGUGAUCCGGUGGUUCUGAAUGGAAGGGCCAUCGCUCAACGGAUAAAAGGUACUCCGGGGAUAACAGGCUGAUACCGCCCAAGAGUUCAUAUCGACGGCGGUGUUUGGCACCUCGAUGUCGGCUCAUCACAUCCUGGGGCUGAAGUAGGUCCCAAGGGUAUGGCUGUUCGCCAUUUAAAGUGGUACGCGAGCUGGGUUUAGAACGUCGUGAGACAGUUCGGUCCCUAUCUGCCGUGGGCGCUGGAGAACUGAGGGGGGCUGCUCCUAGUACGAGAGGACCGGAGUGGACGCAUCACUGGUGUUCGGGUUGUCAUGCCAAUGGCACUGCCCGGUAGCUAAAUGCGGAAGAGAUAAGUGCUGAAAGCAUCUAAGCACGAAACUUGCCCCGAGAUGAGUUCUCCCUGAGACUUAGAGUCUCCUGAAGGAACGUUGAAGACGACGACGUUGAUAGGCCGGGUGUGUAAGCGCAGCGAUGCGUUGAGCUAACCGGUACUAAUGAACCGUGAGGCUUAACCUUACAACGCCGAAG
Molecule: ribosomal RNA, 3005 nt
Filed under: Escherichia coli
Lineage: Bacteria; Pseudomonadati; Pseudomonadota; Gammaproteobacteria; Enterobacterales; Enterobacteriaceae
Description: 23S ribosomal RNA
Rfam family: Bacterial large subunit ribosomal RNA
Source: RNAcentral